Long non-coding RNA from Bufo bufo (common toad), 234 nucleotides. RefSeq lists it as uncharacterized. The transcript is spliced from 2 exons. The record is from RefSeq and is a predicted model, not a curated record. NCBI's taxonomy places the organism in Eukaryota, Metazoa, Chordata, Amphibia, Anura, Bufonidae.
CUUAAGGUUCCAGGGGGAGCUGAAGCACUUUCAAUUCCAGGUAUUACCUUUCGGAAUUUCGAUGGCGCCAAGGAUUUUUACGAAGUCCAACAGGUGGUAGAAAUCUUGACAACCCUGGGCUGGAUCCUGAACAGAGAAAAGUCGAGACUGAUUCCAGAAAAGAAACAACAGUUCCUGGGAAUCUUACUGGAUUCAGUGUCUCAGAGAUCCUUCCUAACCUCAGAAAAAAUUCAG